GACGAACGCUGGCGGCGUGCCUAAUACAUGCAAGUUGAGCGCUGAAGGUUGGUACUUGUACCGACUGGAUGAGCAGCGAACGGGUGAGUAACGCGUGGGGAAUCUGCCUUUGAGCGGGGGACAACAUUUGGAAACGAAUGCUAAUACCGCAUAAAAACUUUAAACACAAGUUUUAAGUUUGAAAGAUGCAAUUGCAUCACUCAAAGAUGAUCCCGCGUUGUAUUAGCUAGUUGGUGAGGUAAAGGCUCACCAAGGCGAUGAGACAUAGCCGACCUGAGAGGGUGAUCGGCCACAUUGGGACGGAGACACGGCCCAAACUCCUACGGGAGGCAGCAGUAGGGAAUCGUCGGCAAUGGACGAAAGUCUGACCGAGCAACGCCGCGUGAGUGAAGAAGGUUGUCGGAUCGUAAAACUCGGUUGGUAGAGAAGAACGUUGGUGAGAGUGGAAAGCUCAUCAAGUGACGGUAACUACCCAGAAAGGGACGGCUAACUACGUG
This 497-nucleotide ribosomal RNA is filed under the name uncultured bacterium. RNAcentral describes it as "partial 16S ribosomal RNA". It matches the Rfam family "Bacterial small subunit ribosomal RNA", at positions 28 to 507 of the family's 1533-position model. The record is from RNAcentral.